UACAGAGGUCUCAAGCGUUGUUCGGAUUCAUUGGGCGUAAAGGGUGCGUAGGCGGCGCGGUAAGUCGGGUGUGAAAUCUCGGGGCUUAACUCCGAAACUGCAUUCGAUACUGCCGUGCUUGAGGACUGGAGAGGAGACUGGAAUUUACGGUGUAGCGGUGAAAUGCGUAGAUAUCGUAAGGAAGACCAGUGGCGAAGGCGGGUCUCUGGACAGUUCCUGACGCUGAGUCACGAAGGUCAGGGGAGCAAACGGG
This 253-nucleotide ribosomal RNA is filed under the name uncultured bacterium. Its description in RNAcentral is "partial 16S ribosomal RNA". It matches the Rfam family "Bacterial small subunit ribosomal RNA", at positions 524 to 776 of the family's 1533-position model. The record is from RNAcentral.